ACAGUAAUCAUAUAAAAGUGGACAUUUAUGUAAAUGUUUGUGUCUAAAGUCACUUCCCAUUGGCGUCGGCGGUACGGGACCUCUCAAAACUGCGGCCAAGAUUCACGUUUUCCAUCCCAUACCCAAUUUUGAAUGUGUGUUUAUUUCGUGUUUUUUUAAGUACAGUACAGUAUAUUAAUAACUUUAAGCUUCGUUUUCAAAACAUAAUGUCAUUGUUUAUUAAUUGUGAUUCUUUACAAAUGCUGUAGUACAACUUUUUAUACCUUUUUCUGCUUGUAUGUUUCAAUUCAGUUCAUGAAACUUUUAUUUGCAUAGUUUUGAAGAAGACUACAGUACCUAGUACUUAUAUUGAAUGUUUGCAUAUCAACAGUGCAGUACUUUAUCUUAAGUAAUAUUUUCAGGUACUUUCUCCAUCACUGCCUAAAGUGGACCUGAUGUGAACUAGAAUGAAGUUGGCUGGAUAUAAAGUUAACUGGACCUGAAGCUAACUGGACCUGAAGCUAACUGGACCUCAAGUAGUCUGUGAAGAAGUCGCCUCGGGCAACGGCAGCGGAAGCGCGAUCCGGGAGACGGACACGAAGAACGACCGUGGAUCGCCGCUCCGGAGACGGGUCGGCGAGUGCCGCUCUCCGACGUAAGACGAUCGUCGAGAAUAUCUUGCGGACGAGAGCGCCGACACGAGUCCGAGACGGAUCGUACGGUCGGCACGUCGGAGCGGUUUGGAUGAAGACAUUCGGGAACUGAGGACGAAGACGCUCGUCGAUCGCGGACGAAGACGCCGGUCGACGCGCGAGGAAGAUGCUCCGGAACACGGGAAGAAUACCACACUCGCGAUUGCGGGAAGAUACUCGUCAACUCAGAAGAGGAUGCGCAUCACUAUUGUAUAGCGACGGUUUUAAAGACGAUGUAAUGUGUAAAAUGAAUGCAUGUGUUGUUUGUAACGAUUGUUAUAAUGUUUGUAGUAUCGUUUUUAGAGACCGACUCCGCGAAGACGGAGGAAGUCGAUACGUGUCGAGAAUGAAUUUAUUGAAGAUGAUCAUCGUAGACAUGUUGCAAAUAGAUUGUAAAAAGUCACGCGUGGAGGGACAAACUCCGUAAAUAACGGCAGCGUAAAUACGAGACGACUCGGCGGCGGGGACGCGCGCCUCUCGAAAGUAAAAGAACGGGGGAGAUUGGACCGACAUAGACGGUGUUGUUGAGGUAACUGAUAAGAAUGGAGAAAUGAUGACUAUUUGGUGGGGUUUUUUUAGGACAGAGAGAGUAGUUAUAUAUUAGUAAAGAUAUAAAGUAAAAGGGGAUAAGGACGGCGGUGGGGUACAAGGAACGACACACUCUGUAGGGCAUUAAAGGAAUUGACGUGCGACUACCGAGUCGGCGUAAUUGUGAAAAAGAGAUGCGAGGGGGAUUUUGAAGAGAAGAAGAAGAAGUCGCGUGGUAGAGGAAUUGCGGGGAAAUUGGCGGAAGCGACGAUCGGUUACGGGAGAGGAUUUAACGAAUAACAUUUCGAUGCGGGACGGGAGACGACGAAUUUAGGGAAUGCCGGUUUAGGAUAGGGUCGUACGUAAAGCGGAGGGUGCGGGCGUCUGCGGAUACGGACGACGGAGAAUAGACGGGAAUGUGCAUCGAGACGAGGCGGUGGAGAAACGAAAGUGUCGGAGGUACCGCAGGGAAGUAUACCCGCGAGAUGUGUAAAGAAUGGUUUGGAAGUAGAGUUAGGUGAGAGUCAUGUGUUUGAAAUGGCGGGAAGGUUUGACAGGUGUAUUGGUUUUACGUAAUUGUGGCAGUCGGUUUGAGAGCGGGCAGCUGUGGAAUGCGCGCGGGUACCUAUUUUGAGACCGCGACAUCUACCGGUAAGGAAAUAUGCGAUGCAGCAGUAAUAUAUUUUUGGUUAAUAGUAGUUUCAUUUAUUUGGCAAGAAUUUUUACUCGUUCACCUGUACUCCGUGUUGCUCCACUCGUGUUAAGGCGUUUAUUGUGAAGGCGUCUGUAUAAUAAUAAAAUUUGGAGGACGAGUAGGAUAAGUGGAAGGGGAAGGAAUACGAGCACAAUGUUGAAUGUGUAAGCCCUCCCUUUUUUUGUCUUUUCCCUCUGCCUCCCUGUCCUCCUCCUCCUCUUCCUCCUGCUCCUCCUCUUUUGAUGUGUUCCUCGUUUCUUUGUUCGUCGAGUGGUUUCUUCUCCCUCCGUUUCAUUGUGACUCCCUUCGUCUUUCUCCCCUGUACCUGCUUCUGUCCCUCCUCUUCUUCCUGUUUCCUUCUUUUACUCCUCCUCUUUGUUCCCCCCCCCCUCCUCCUCCUCUUCGCCUUAUGUCUUCCUCGUUUCCAUGUUUAUUCUUUUGCUUGUUGUUCCUCUGUUCCUCCUCCUCCUCCUCCUCCUCUGUUUGAUUGUGAUUCCCUUUUUGUUUCUCACCCUCCCAUUCCUCUUGAUCCUGUUUGUUUUUUGUUGCUUUCUUUUCCUUUGUUGGUUGUUUUUGUGUCCCUGUAUACGUUUGUUGUUACCAAUUGAAUUUGUGGUUGUAUUACUGCUGCUGUGUGUAUGUUGGAUUGUAUUUAUUUGUGUUGUUAUAAAUAUGUUGUGAGUGUGAAUUAGAUAUAUUGUGUUGAUAUUUGACUAAAUUUUGUUGUUAAGAAGAGGAGGAGUUCUAUUUAGAUUUGGAAAGUAAUUGUCAUCGAGGACGAGAAUGCACGUACCGUCUGUAGUUUGAAUAUGCGGUCGCGUCGGGUUUGGGCAGUUAUAUAUCGGGAAAUAGUUGAAUUUUGUAAGUUAAUGUUGUGGACUUGUGAAAUUGAUGAGCAUGAAAUUGUUUAUUGUGGAAUAGUUAUUGGUUUUAAUUUGAAGGGUGUCAAUUGCGCACCGGGAAUAUUUUGUCGGGACUUUCGCGUCGUCGGAAUCGACCGGAACGGCCGCAAUAAAUUGCGGGUGUCGCGGAGUUAUUUUUUGUCGUCGUAGAUCCGUCCGUGGAGUCGUAAAAAAUGUGGCGUCGUCGACGAAAGUCAAUCGUCUGCGGAUCGGUCGUCUUGGAAUCGACGGAAGUUAAGCGCUGACUUGCAAUACAGUUUUGACGUGCAAUUCGUCGCGUCCGUUUUAUUGCAGUCGAGUUACGUGUAGACUUGUAUAUGUUUGUUUGUAAUUGAUUGAAGUUAUUUGUAGUGUGAAAAAUGUUUUGAGUUGUUGUUGUUGUUGUUUGAUUAUAGUAUAGUCAUUUGUGCAGUUUGAAUCUAUUUUGGUUUGUGGAUUUGGAAAAUGUGUUGCAUGUAUGUGGAAUUUGAAUAAGUGAGAUAUUUUGUGGAUUUUGUAUAUUUUUCAUGUUCGUGGACCGAAAUGUCGUACAGGUCGUACCUCUCUAGUCGGGCAACCUCGGGACCGGAACGGUGCCGUAUCAUGGAAAUUCACCCUUUUCCUGGAUAGAUAGUGACUUGUGCUUAUGCUUGGAAGCACUAGCACCAGU
This 3444-nucleotide long non-coding RNA is filed under the name Homarus americanus (American lobster). RNAcentral's name for it is "uncharacterized LOC121867926, transcript variant X1". The record is from RNAcentral. Lineage: Eukaryota; Metazoa; Arthropoda; Malacostraca; Decapoda; Nephropidae.